This 253-nucleotide ribosomal RNA is filed under the name uncultured bacterium. RNAcentral's name for it is "partial 16S ribosomal RNA". It matches the Rfam family "Bacterial small subunit ribosomal RNA", at positions 524 to 776 of the family's 1533-position model. The record is from RNAcentral.
UACGUAGGGGGCUAGCGUUGUCCGGAUUUAUUGGGCGUAAAGAGCGUGUAGGCGGCCAGGUAGGUCUGCUGUGAAAACUCGAGGCUCAACCUCGAGAUGUCGGCGGAAACCAUCUGGCUAGAGUCCGGAAGAGGAGAGUGGAAUUCCUGGUGUAGCGGUGAAAUGCGCAGAUAUCAGGAAGAACACCUAUGGCGAAGGCAGCACUCUGGGACGGUACUGACGCUGAGACGCGAAAGCGUGGGGAGCGAACAGG